GACGUAGGGGGCUAGCGUUGUCCGGAAUUAUUGGGCGUAAAGAGCUCGUAGGUGGCGUGUCGCGUCUGCCGUGAAAGCCCAUGGCUUAACUGUGGGUCUGCGGUGGAUGCGGGCAGGCUAGAGGCUGGUAGGGGCAAGCGGAAUUCCUGGUGUAGCGGUGAAAUGCGCAGAUAUCAGGAGGAACACCGGUGGCGAAGGCGGCUUGCUGGGCCAGUUCUGACGCUGAGGAGCGAAAGCGUGGGGAGCGAACAGG
Molecule: ribosomal RNA, 253 nt
Filed under: uncultured bacterium
Lineage: Bacteria
Description: partial 16S ribosomal RNA
Rfam family: Bacterial small subunit ribosomal RNA
Source: RNAcentral